GCAAGGUUGAAACUCAAAGGAAUUGACGGGUCUCCGCACAAGCGGUGGAGCAUGUUGUUUAAUUCGAAGAUACGCGAAGAACCUUACCAGGUCUUGACAUCUUCUUGAUCGCUAUAGAGAUAUAGUUUCCCUUCGGGGCAAGAAUGACAGGUGGUGCAUGGUUGUCGUCAGCUCGUGUCGUGAGAUGUUGGGUUAAGUCCCGCAACGAGCGCAACCCCUAUUAAUAGUUGCUAACAUUAAGUUGAGGACUCUAUUGAGACUGCCAGUGAUAAACUGGAGGAAGGUGGGGAUGACGUCAAAUCAUCAUGCCCCUUAUGACCUGGGCUACAAACGUGCUACAAUGGCCAGUACAGAGAGUUGCCAAACCGCAAGGUGGAGCUAACCUCCAAAACUGGUCUCAGUUCGGAUUGAAGUCUGCAACUCGACUUCAUGAAGUUGGAAUCGCUAGUAAUCGUGGGUCAGAAUACCACGGUGAAUACGUUCUCGGAGAUUGUACACACCGCCCGUCAUACCAUGAGAGUUUGUAACACCCGAAGUGUGUGGCCUAACCAGCUUGCUGGAGGGAGCACCCUAAGGUGGGAUAGAUGAUUAGGGUAAAGUCGUAACAAGGUA
RNAcentral lists this ribosomal RNA (612 nucleotides) under uncultured bacterium. RNAcentral describes it as "bacterial SSU rRNA". It matches the Rfam family "Bacterial small subunit ribosomal RNA", at positions 888 to 1498 of the family's 1533-position model. The record is from RNAcentral.